RNAcentral lists this unclassified non-coding RNA (340 nucleotides) under uncultured Entrophosporaceae. Its description in RNAcentral is "uncultured Claroideoglomeraceae sequence contains 18S rRNA gene". The record is from RNAcentral. Lineage: Eukaryota; Fungi; Glomeromycota; Glomeromycetes; Entrophosporales; Entrophosporaceae.
CCCAACUAUCCCUAUUAAUCAUUACGUCGAUCCUAGAAACCAACAAAAUAGAAUCAUGCCGUCCUAUUCUAUUAUUCCAUGCUAAUGUAUUCGAGCAAAAUGCCUGCUUUAAACACUCUAAUUUUUUCAAGGUAAAGGUCCUGGUUCCACAUGACACCCAAUUAAGGACAUCAUGCUUCUCCAGAAGGUGAGAAAUCAACUGCGACAGUUCAUACCCCUUAAGGCACGACCAUCACGUCAAUCCCGAAAUUCAACUACGAGCUUUUUAACUGCAACAACUUUAAUAUACGCUAUUGGAGCUGGAAUUACCGCGGCUGCUGGCACCAGACUUGCCCUCCAA